RNAcentral lists this ribosomal RNA (301 nucleotides) under uncultured bacterium. RNAcentral describes it as "partial 16S ribosomal RNA". It matches the Rfam family "Bacterial small subunit ribosomal RNA", at positions 509 to 807 of the family's 1533-position model. The record is from RNAcentral.
CAGUCGCCGCGGGAAUACCGAGGAUGCAAGCGUUAUCCGGAAUGAUUGGGCGUAAAGCGUCUGUAGGUGGCUUUUCAAGUCCGCCGUCAAAUCCCAGGGCUCAACCCUGGACAGGCGGUGGAAACUACCAAGCUGGAGUACGGUAGGGGCAGAGGGAAUUUCCGGUGGAGCGGUGAAAUGCGUAGAUAUUGGGAGGAACACCAGUGGCGAAGGCGGCUUUCUGGACUGUAACUGACGCUGAGGCUCGAAAGCCAGGGGAGCGAACGGGAUUAGAUACCCCAGUAGUCCCUGUCUCUUAUAC